ACUCCUGCGGGAGGCAGCAGUGAGGAAUAUUGGACAAUGGGUGGAAGCCUGAUCCAGCCAUCCCGCGUGCAGGAAGACGGCCCUAUGGGUUGUAAACUGCUUUUAUCUGGGGAUAAACCUACUUACGUGUAAGUAGCUGAAGGUACCAGAAGAAUAAGCACCGGCUAACUCCGUGCCAGCAGCCGCGGUAAUACGGAGGGUGCAAGCGUUAUCCGGAUUUAUUGGGUUUAAAGGGUCCGUAGGCGGACUGAUAAGUCAGUGGUGAAAUCCGACAGCUUAACUGUCGAACUGCCAUUGAUACUGUUAGUCUUGAGUAAGGUUGAAGUGGCUGGAAUAAGUAGUGUAGCGGUGAAAUGCAUAGAUAUUACUUAGAACACCAAUUGCGAAGGCAGGUCACUAAGUCUUAACUGACGCUGAUGGACGAAAGCGUGGGGAGCGAACAGGAUUAGAAACCCCGGUAGUCCCAUGA
RNAcentral lists this ribosomal RNA (469 nucleotides) under uncultured organism. RNAcentral describes it as "partial 16S ribosomal RNA". It matches the Rfam family "Bacterial small subunit ribosomal RNA", at positions 335 to 800 of the family's 1533-position model. The record is from RNAcentral.